GCCCGUACCGUAAACCGACACAGGUGGGUGGGAUGAGUAUUCUAAGGCGCGUGGAAGAACUCUCUUUAAGGAACUCUGCAAAAUAGCACCGUAUCUUCGGUAUAAGGUGUGGUUAGCUUUGUAUUAGGAUUUACUCCGAAAGCAAGGAAACUUACAACAAAGAGUCCCUCCCGACUGUUUACCAAAAACACAGCACUCUGCUAACUCGUAAGAGGAUGUAUAGGGUGUGACGCCUGCCCGGUGCUCGAAGGUUAAUUGAUGGGGUUAGCAUUAGCGAAGCUCUUGAUCGAAGCCCGAGUAAACGGCGGCCGUAACUAUAACGGUCCUAAGGUAGCGAAAUUCCUUGUCGGUUAAAUACCGACCUGCAUGAAUGGCGUAACGAGAUGGGAGCUGUCUCAAAGAGGGAUCCAGUGAAAUUGUAGUGGAGGUGAAAAUUCCUCCUACCCGCGGCAAGACGGAAAGACCCCGUGGACCUUUACUACAGCUUGACACUGCUACUUGGAUAAGAAUGUGCAGGAUAGGUGGGAGGCUUUGAGUAUAUGACGCCAGUUGUAUAUGAGCCAUUGUUGAGAUACCACUCUUUCUUAUUUGGGUAGCUAACCAGCUUGAGUUAUCCUCAAGUGGGACAAUGUCUGGUGGGUAGUUUGACUGGGGCG
This 656-nucleotide ribosomal RNA is filed under the name Campylobacter jejuni. Its description in RNAcentral is "partial 23S ribosomal RNA". It matches the Rfam family "Bacterial large subunit ribosomal RNA", at positions 1640 to 2281 of the family's 2925-position model. Lineage: Bacteria; Pseudomonadati; Campylobacterota; Epsilonproteobacteria; Campylobacterales; Campylobacteraceae. The record is from RNAcentral.